GAAGUUUAAAACCUCUCUUACGGGCUCCGUUUUAUUUCUUUUCUCAAAAUGAGAAAAUGAGAAAAGAAAUAAAACGGAGCCAGUAAGAUAGGUUUUAAACUC
Molecule: microRNA precursor, 102 nt
Filed under: Corchorus capsularis
Lineage: Eukaryota; Viridiplantae; Streptophyta; Magnoliopsida; Malvales; Malvaceae
Description: pre miRNA MIR477
Source: RNAcentral